Long non-coding RNA from Homo sapiens (human), 2923 nucleotides. RefSeq lists it as uncharacterized. The record is from RefSeq and is a predicted model, not a curated record. The transcript is spliced from 3 exons. NCBI's taxonomy places the organism in Eukaryota, Metazoa, Chordata, Mammalia, Primates, Hominidae.
AAAAAAAAAAAAAAGAAGAAGGGAAGGACAGGAACUGCAUAACUGCAUUUACGUACUCACUGGGUACCAGACGUAUAGAAAAUUUCACUCUAUCACAUAUAAUUACAGCACCUCUAAGAGGCAGGUGUGAUUAUCUCCAUUUUAUAGUUAAGAAAACUGAGGCUGAGUAAUGUUAAAUUAAUACAUAGUAGAAAUGGAAUUCUUGGUAUAUCUGAUUCAAAACCCAUGCCUUUUCUGCUACGCUAAGCUACAAUCAACUUAGAUAGGACUUCGAUGGAGGAUUACACAUCCCUUCUGCAUUAGCUCUUUAUUGCUGUGUAACAAAUUAACCCCAAAUUUGGCAGCUUACAGCAGAACAUUUUCUAACAGUUUCUGUGGAUCAGGGGUUCAGGUAUGUCUUGUUGAGUACUGUGCCUCAGGGUUUCCCACAGAGCUGUAGUCAACAUGUCUGAAAUAAAAUUUGCAAGGAAGAAAAUAUUUAAAAGCAAGAACAAUAUAAAUCAUAUUUAAUGGUAAAAUGUUAAAUGUUUUUCCUUGCAGAUUAAGAAACAGAUAAAGAUGUCUCUUACCACCACUGAAUAUUGUGGUAGAGAUCCUAGUCAAUACAGAGAAACAAGAAAAAUAAAUUAUGAGGAUUGGAAAAGGAAGAAAUUCAACAGUCUUUAUUCACAGCUGUGAUUGCUUGCCUCUGCAGUCUCUGCAGGAGUCAGAGGAUGGAGCUGCAGAGCCUCUAAGGCCAGAAUUAGGCCCAACAGGGGAGGAUGCAGACAGGCACAUCAAGACCCCAUACAAAGGAAAACGUCCUAAGGGCCACAGGAAUAGGCUGCUUUAACGGGAUACUGAGCGCCCUGUCACCACUGGAGUUCACACAAAGGCUGGAGAACGACCUGACCGAAGCAGCGGACGAAUCCUCGCCCUGGGUGACAGGUGAGAAGUCUAUGGUCAAGGCGCCUGAACUCUGGGCAAGGACCUUCUUGCCGCAUCAUCCCAUGGCAGAAGGCAGAAAGGUAAGAGAGAGAGAAAGGGGUGAGGCGACUGAACUCAUCCUUUUACAAGGGACCCACUUUUGCAAAAACUAACCCACAACCCACUCCUUCAAUAACAGCAUUAAGCCACUCGUGAGGGCAGAGCCAUCAUGACCUAAUCACCUCUCCAAGGUCCCACCUCCCAGCACUGUUGCCUUGGGGAUUGCAUUUCCAAUACACAGACUUUGAGGGACACAUUCAAACCAUAGCAGUUGCCCCAGAUCUUGCCAGGCUGGAAUUUAUUUCUGGCCUCCUGUCUAGUAAAGACCAAUGUAGUUUCCUGUGAUUGGAUUGCGGCUAGGGGACCUGGGUUUCAGUUUAGACAUUUCCAUGAACUUGCUGCAUUCCCUGUAGGGACUCAUUUCCCAUCUGCGGGCUCAUUUCCAUGAAGUUGCUGCAUUCCCUGUGGGGACUCACUUCCCAUCUGUGGGCUCAGGACAGUCAGGUGUGAAGCAAAGGCAACACAUCAGUGAGCCCUCCCUCACUGCUGACCCAUCCCCUUGCUUCCUUGACUUUUCUUUGCUCUGUAUCUCAAGUGAGCGCUGGACCUGCCUCAGGCACCACUGCGAUGCAGAGGCUUGGAGGGUUUUUUGGGUUCAGUUACAGUUUCUGAGCCUCUUGGCUCUGGUCACUUUUUCAGUGGAACACUUCUUCUUCCUUUUAUUUUUUAAGAGAAAGGGGCUAGGCAUGGUGGCUGACACCUGUAAUCCCAGCACUUUGGGAGGCCAAAGCGGGUGGAUCACCUGAGGUCAGGAGUUCGAGACUAGCCUGGCCAACGCAAUGAAACCCUGUCUCUACUAAAAAUAAAAAAAAAUAAAAAAAAAAUUAGCUGGACAUGUUGGCAGCCACCUGUAAUUCCAGCUACUCAGGAGGCUGAGGCAGGAGAAUCAUUUGAACCUGGGAGGUGGAGGUUGCAGUGAGCUGAGAUCAUGCCACUGCACUCCAGCCUGGGUGACAAAGUGAGACUUUGUCUCAGAAAGAAAAGAAAAAGAGAAAGUUUCUCAUUCUCUGUCACCCAGGCUUCAGUGCAAUGGCCCAAUCUCGGCUCACUGCAGCCUCAAAGUCCUGGGCUCAAGCCAUCCUCCCACCUCAGCCUCCCAAGGUGCUGGGAUUACAGGCAUGAACCUCUGGGCAAAGCUUUGUCAUUCUUCAUACUUUUCGAACAAGGAGCCCUGCAUUUUCAUCUGCACCGGGUCCUGCAGAUUAUUACGUAGUGGGUCCUGGUGUGGAUUCGUGUGCCUGGGUUCCGUGCCCAUUCGUUGAGCUGGGGUACGGGGAUCAUCAGCUACACCCAGACCACACGGACCCAGAAGCGGGGGGCAGGGUUGCUAAAGAAAAACUGAAGAGCGUUACCAGAAGCAAGAAUGGUUGUGGCGUCGGCAAAAUUGAAUACACGUGCGUAUCGACACCGAUGUGGGAUACGUUCUGAGUAGUUGAGGGAAGACCCAAAAUCAUGCCGUCGGAGCUCUUCCUGGAACCGCACCGCGGCAUGUGUGGCUCCAUGGAGGGCGUGACGCACCGUGCAGCAAUACUCGCAGCGUGGAGAGUUCCAGUCCCGAAAUGGCAGCGUCAGGCAAGCUGCUUCCAAUACCCCUCCCUCCGACAACCAGAAACAAAUACCCAGCGCCCAGAUCCACACCAGCAGCAACCCAGAGCUCCAGUCUGAGGAUGAGACUGUUCCAGGGCCACAGAAAAGAGGAAAACCUCGGGCAGAUGGUGAGGGAAGGGAACCUCCGUGUUCAGGACACCUCCGCCCAUCCACAUUCGGCCUGGCACCGAUCCUGCGGAAUCUCUCCCCAACGCACGGUUUCUACACUGGAACGAUUGAAACUAAGGGGGUGCGCCAACUCCCCCACCUUCGCGGGUCCCCUGGCAGGAGACCUGGUCCUUGCCUUACC